RNAcentral lists this ribosomal RNA (253 nucleotides) under uncultured bacterium. RNAcentral describes it as "partial 16S ribosomal RNA". It matches the Rfam family "Bacterial small subunit ribosomal RNA", at positions 524 to 776 of the family's 1533-position model. The record is from RNAcentral.
UACGGAGGGUGCGAGCGUUAUCCGGAAUUACUGGGUUUAAAGGGUGCGUAGGCGGCUGUGUAAGUCAGGAGUGAAAGUUUGCGGCUCAACCGUAAAAUUGCUUUUGAUACUGCAUGGCUAGAAUUAGGAUGAGGUCAGCGGAAUGUGGCAUGUAGCGGUGAAAUGCAUAGAUAUGCCAUAGAACACCUAUUGCGAAGGCAGCUGGCUAGACCUAUAUUGACGCUGAGGCACGAAAGCGUGGGGAGCGAACAGG